Molecule: ribosomal RNA, 468 nt
Filed under: uncultured bacterium
Lineage: Bacteria
Description: partial 16S ribosomal RNA
Rfam family: Bacterial small subunit ribosomal RNA
Source: RNAcentral
GACGAACGCUGGCGGCGUGCUUAACACAUGCCAGUCGAACGGAAAGGCCCUGCUUUUGUGGGGUGCUCGAGUGGCGAACGGGUGAGUAACACGUGAGUAACCUGCCCUUGACUUUGGGAUAACUUCAGGAAACUGGGGCUAAUACCGGAUAGGAGCUCCUGCUGCAUGGUGGGGGUUGGAAAGUUUCGGCGGUUGGGGAUGGGCUCGCGGCUUAUCAGCUUGUUGGUGGGGUAGUGGCUUACCAAGGCUUUGACGGGUAGCCGGCCUGAGAGGGUGACCGGCCACAUUGGGACUGAGAUACGGCCCAGACUCCUACGGGAGGCAGCAGUGGGGAAUAUUGCACAAUGGGCGGAAGCCUGAUGCAGCAACGCCGCGUGCGGGAUGACGGCCUUCGGGUUGUAAACCGCUUUCGCCUGUGACGAAGCGUGAGUGACGGUAAUGGGUAAAGAAGCACCGGCUAACUACGUG